Molecule: non-coding RNA, 114 nt
Organism: Soboliphyme baturini
Lineage: Eukaryota; Metazoa; Nematoda; Enoplea; Dioctophymatida; Soboliphymatidae
Source: Rfam
AUCGGGUACGGCGACAUCGUGCCGAAGACCAGCGUCGGCAUGAUCAUCGGCUGCAUGUGCGCGCUGACCGGGGUGCUGACCUUGGCACUGCCGAUGCCGGUCAUCGUUAGCAAC